ACUGUUUUAGUACAAAAAGUAUAAUUGACUUCCAAUCAAAAGGUUGAAAAAUCAAAACAGAA
This 62-nucleotide transfer RNA is filed under the name Geisha distinctissima. RNAcentral describes it as "tRNA-Gly". The record is from RNAcentral. Lineage: Eukaryota; Metazoa; Arthropoda; Insecta; Hemiptera; Flatidae.